GUCUUAUUGAUUAUAAUUUUAAGUCUAAUCUGCCCAAUGAUAAAUUAAAUGGCUGCAGUAUUCUAACUGUACAAAGGUAGCAUAAUAAUUAGUUUCUUAAUUAGGAACUGGAAUGAAUGAUUGGACGAAAUAAUAACUGUCUUGGUUUAAAUUUUAGAAUUUUAUUUUUAAGUUAAAAAGCUUAAAUUUUUUUAAAAGACGAGAAGACCCUAUAGAAUUUUAUAUUAUUUAAAUUUUUUAUUAUUGGUAAUUUUAUAUAGAGAAUUAUAAAAAGUAUUUAGUUGGGGUGACUGAAAAAUUUAAUUAACUUUUUUUUAUAUUUAACAUUAAUGUAUGAUUUUUUGAUCCAUAUUUUUUGAUUAUAAGAUUAAAUUACCUUAGGGAUAACAGCGUAAUUUUUUUAGAGAGUUCUAAUCGAUAGAAGAGAUUGCGACCUCGAUGUUGGAUUAAAGUUUAUUUUUAAUGUAGGAGUUAAAAUAUUAGGUCUGUUCUACCUUUAAAACUU
RNAcentral lists this ribosomal RNA (505 nucleotides) under Parvospeonomus delarouzeei. Its description in RNAcentral is "partial 16S ribosomal RNA". The stretch from base 383 to 505 matches the Rfam family "Bacterial large subunit ribosomal RNA", at positions 2473 to 2596 of the family's 2925-position model. Lineage: Eukaryota; Metazoa; Arthropoda; Insecta; Coleoptera; Leiodidae. The record is from RNAcentral.